UUAAGUCAGGCAACGAGCGAGACCCGUGCCCACUGUUACCAGCAUGUCCUCCGGGAUGAUGGGUACUCUGUGGGGACCGCCGGUGUUAAAUCGGAGGAAGGUGCGGGCCACGGUAGGUCAGUAUGCCCCGAAUUUCCCGGGCUACACGCGGGCUACAAUGAAUGGGACAAUGGGUCCCUCCCCUGAAAAGGGCUGGUAAUCUCACAAACCCAUCCGUAGUUCGGAUCGAGGGCUGUAACUCGCCCUCGUGAAGCUGGAAUCCGUAGUAAUCGCGUUUCAAUAUAGCGCGGUGAAUACGUCCCUGCUCCUUGCACA
Molecule: ribosomal RNA, 315 nt
Filed under: uncultured methanogenic archaeon
Lineage: Archaea; Methanobacteriati; Methanobacteriota
Description: bacterial SSU rRNA
Rfam family: Archaeal small subunit ribosomal RNA
Source: RNAcentral